This is a non-coding RNA of Malus domestica (apple), 512 nucleotides long. Lineage: Eukaryota; Viridiplantae; Streptophyta; Magnoliopsida; Rosales; Rosaceae. The record is from RefSeq and is a predicted model, not a curated record.
UCUAAAGUACAUGAACCGUUUAAAAACCCUCACCCACAUCCCCAUUUGCCGCCAAAUCUGAACUCUCAUUCAUUUCAAGUCUCUCUGUGUGUGACGACUGCCCAUCACUCUCUCUCUCUCUCUUUCUCUCUCUCUCUCUCUUCUUGGUGAAUACUCGAUCUCGUUUUAUUAUUUUGAUUUUUGUUUUUGACAGAGCUUGCGAAGGAUUUCCUUUCCAACUUUGCCAAUUCGAAUGGCGAACCAAAUAUAUGCGCAUCCUUCAGGAAGUUGCAAACCGCAAAUUUCGAGCUAUCGAGAUUGAUAUUGAGGACUUGUUCAGUUACACAGAAAUGAAUGAAGAAUCCCGCAAUCGAGUUGAAGUGAACACUCGGGCGUUAUAUUGGUGUAUUUGCAGAUGGUAUUGAUGAGCUCAUGCCGGAGCCCACGGAGACAGAUCAUGAUCAUGACAUUCUGAUGACUCAGAGGUUUGAUGAUGGACCAGAGAAUAUGGAUGGUUCGGAUCCACAUCAGAA